This 253-nucleotide ribosomal RNA is filed under the name uncultured bacterium. RNAcentral's name for it is "partial 16S ribosomal RNA". It matches the Rfam family "Bacterial small subunit ribosomal RNA", at positions 524 to 776 of the family's 1533-position model. The record is from RNAcentral.
UACGUAGGGUGCGAGCGUUAAUCGGAAUUACUGGGCGUAAAGCGUGCGCAGGCGGUUCGCCGUGUCCGAUGUGAAAGCCCCGGGCUUAACCUGGGAAUGGCAUUGGAAACUGGCGGGCUUGAGUGUGGCAGAGGGGGGUGGAAUUCCACGUGUAGCGGUGAAAUGCGUAGAGAUGUGGAGGAACACCGAUGGCGAAGGCAGCCUCCUGGGCCAACACUGACGCUCAUGCACGAAAGCGUGGGGAGCAAACAGG